UACAGAGGUCCCAAGCGUUGUUCGGAUUCACUGGGCGUAAAGGGUGCGUAGGCGGUCGGGUAAGUCUGGCGUGAAAUCUCCAAGCCUAACUUGGAAACUGCGUUGGAUACUAUCCGGCUCGAGGAAUGGAGGGGAGACUGGAAUACUUGGUGUAGCAGUGAAAUGCGUAGAUAUCAAGUGGAACACCAGUGGCGAAGGCGAGUCUCUGGACAUUUCCUGACGCUGAGGCACGAAAGCCGGGGGAGCAAACGGG
RNAcentral lists this ribosomal RNA (253 nucleotides) under uncultured bacterium. RNAcentral describes it as "partial 16S ribosomal RNA". It matches the Rfam family "Bacterial small subunit ribosomal RNA", at positions 524 to 776 of the family's 1533-position model. The record is from RNAcentral.